UUGUUUUGAGGCGAGUCUACACGCAGAGGCGAGACAAACACCCAACACCAAGCAAAGCUUGAAGGUACAAAUGACGCUCGAACAGGCAUGCCCCAUGGAAUACCAAGGGGCGCAAUGUGCGUUCAAAGAUUCGAUGAUUCACUGAAUUCUGCAAUUCUCACUACUUAUCGCAUUUCGCUGCGUUCUUCAUCGAUGCCAGAACCAAUAGAUCCGUUGUUGAAAGUUGUAACUAUUAAGUUUUUUCAGACGCUGAUUGCAACUGCAAAGGGUUUAAAGUGUCCAAUCGG
Molecule: ribosomal RNA, 287 nt
Filed under: Phoma sp. TSF02
Lineage: Eukaryota; Fungi; Ascomycota; Dothideomycetes; Pleosporales; Didymellaceae
Description: partial 18S ribosomal RNA
Source: RNAcentral